CAUGCAAGUCGAACGAUGAUGCCCAGCUUGCUGGGCGGAUUAGUGGCGAACGGGUGAGUAAUACGUGAGUAACCUGCCCUUGACUCUGGGAUAAGCCUGGGAAACUGGGUCUAAUACUGGAUACUACCUCUUACCGCAUGGUGGGUGGUGGAAAGGGUUUUACUGGUUUUGGAUGGGCUCACGGCCUAUCAGCUUGUUGGUGGGGUAAUGGCUCACCAAGGCGACGACGGGUAGCCGGCCUGAGAGGGUGACCGGCCACACUGGGACUGAGACACGGCCCAGACUCCUACGGGAGGCAGCAGUGGGGAAUAUUGCACAAUGGGCGGAAGCCUGAUGCAGCGACGCCGCGUGAGGGAUGACGGCCUUCGGGUUGUAAACCUCUUUCAGUAGGGAAGAAGCGAGAGUGACGGUACCUGCAGAAGAAGCGCCGGCUAACUACGUGCCAGCAGCCGCGGUAAUACGUAGGGCGCAAGCGUUGUCCGGAAUUAUUGGGCGUAAAGAGCUCGUAGGCGGUUUGUCGCGUCUGCUGUGAAAGCCCGGGGCUCAACCCCGGGUCUGCAGUGGGUACGGGCAGACUAGAGUGCAGUAGGGGAGACUGGAAUUCCUGGUGUAGCGGUGAAAUGCGCAGAUAUCAGGAGGAACACCGAUGGCGAAGGCAGGUCUCUGGGCUGUUACUGACGCUGAGGAGCGAAAGCAUGGGGA
Molecule: ribosomal RNA, 702 nt
Filed under: Kocuria sp.
Lineage: Bacteria; Bacillati; Actinomycetota; Actinomycetes; Micrococcales; Micrococcaceae
Description: bacterial SSU rRNA
Rfam family: Bacterial small subunit ribosomal RNA
Source: RNAcentral